RNAcentral lists this ribosomal RNA (354 nucleotides) under uncultured soil bacterium. RNAcentral describes it as "bacterial SSU rRNA". It matches the Rfam family "Bacterial small subunit ribosomal RNA", at positions 26 to 398 of the family's 1533-position model. The record is from RNAcentral.
AGGAUGAACGUUGGCGGCGUGCCUAACACAUGCAAGUCGAACGAUCCCUUCGGGGAUAGUGGCGCACGGGUGAGUAACACGUAGCUUACCUCCCUCUCAGCGCGGGAUAACGACUCGAAAGAGUUGCUAAUACCGCAUAAGCUCACGGGUUACAGAGACUUGUGAGAAAAGGUGCAAAUCACUGAGAGACGGGGCUGCGGCCCAUCAGCUAGUUGGUGAGGUAAAGGCUUACCAAGGCGACGACGGGUAGGGACCUGAGAGGGUCGACCCCCCACACGUGGGACUGAGACACGGCCCAGACCUCCGUACGGGAGGCAGCAGUGAGGAAUAUGACACGAAUCGGGCGACAACGCC